Molecule: unclassified non-coding RNA, 586 nt
Filed under: Hevea brasiliensis (rubber tree)
Lineage: Eukaryota; Viridiplantae; Streptophyta; Magnoliopsida; Malpighiales; Euphorbiaceae
Source: RNAcentral
CUGAAUUCUGGCAGUGAACGGCAAUCAUUUGCAUUGGAGCUUGGCCCACGAUCCAUCCCCCGUUAUGGACAAAUAUAUAAAUCAAUUACUCAGUUUUAGGAGAUUAACAUGGUCAGUCCAAGAAUGUGGUCAGCAUUGCACACCUUAUUAUGACUGUUUAAAAUUAGAAAAGAUCUUGAAUUGAUUGACAGGGUCAACAGUAGUUGCACGCCUCUAGCUUAUGUCUGAAUCCCAUAAACUCCUUCACCUUCUCUUAUUGUUUAUCUUCCAAUUCUAUUCUUAGAAUCUCAGAUAAACUUGCCAGCUCCAUCACCAAUUCUGCCUCUCAAAGAGACGCGCACGCCAACAUGAAACGCCCCCUUAACCUAAAAUUAAACAAAAGGAAACAAAUCUUUUCCACAAAGAAAAAGACUUGGGGAACAACAAAAUCUCUCCAACAGCGGCUCGUUUCUACCCGGAGCUACACCCCAUUUCCGGCUUGGAGAUGACCGUUGUUCGCUUUCUUGUUCUCCUCUUCCUCGUCGCACUUUCGCUCUGCAGCCUCUCAUUUUCCUUAUCAGAAGAUGAGGCUCUUCUCAAAUUUAAG